CAGCCGCCGCGGGAAUAUGUAGGGUGCAAGCGUUAAUCGGAAUUACUGGGCGUAAAGCGUGCGCAGGCGGUUCGUUAAGACAGAUGUGAAAUCCCCGGGCUUAACCUGGGAACUGCAUUUGUGACUGGCGGGCUAGAGUAUGGCAGAGGGGGGUAGAAUUCCACGUGUAGCAGUGAAAUGCGUAGAGAUGUGGAGGAAUACCGAUGGCGAAGGCAGCCCCCUGGGCCAAUACUGACGCUCAUGCACGAAAGCGUGGGGAGCAAACAGGAUUAGAUACCCCUGUAGUCCCUGUCUCUUAUAC
RNAcentral lists this ribosomal RNA (301 nucleotides) under uncultured bacterium. Its description in RNAcentral is "partial 16S ribosomal RNA". It matches the Rfam family "Bacterial small subunit ribosomal RNA", at positions 509 to 807 of the family's 1533-position model. The record is from RNAcentral.